RNAcentral lists this ribosomal RNA (497 nucleotides) under uncultured bacterium. RNAcentral describes it as "partial 16S ribosomal RNA". It matches the Rfam family "Bacterial small subunit ribosomal RNA", at positions 28 to 507 of the family's 1533-position model. The record is from RNAcentral.
GACGAACGCUGGCGGCGUGCCUAAUACAUGCAAGUUGAGCGCUGAAGGUUGGUACUUGUACCAACUGGAUGAGCAGCGAACGGGUGAGUAACGCGUGGGGAAUCUGCCUUUGAGCGGGGGACAACAUUUGGAAACGAAUGCUAAUACCGCAUAAAAACUUUAUACACAAGUUUUAAGUUUGAAAGAUGCAAUUGCAUCACUCAAAGAUGAUCCCGCGUUGUAUUAGCUAGUUGGUGAGGUAAAGGCUCACCAAGGCGAUGAUACAUAGCCGACCUGAGAGUGUGAUCGGCCACAUUGGGACUGAGACACGGCCCAAACUCCUACGGGAGGCAGCAGUAGGGAAUCUUCGGCAAUGGACGAAAGUCUGACCGAGCAACGCCGCGUGAGUGAAGAAGGUUUUCGGAUCGUAAAACUCUGUUGGUAGAGAAGAACGUUGGUGAGAGUGGAAAGCUCAUCAAGUGACGGUAACUACCCAGAAAGGGACAGCUAACUACGUG